RNAcentral lists this ribosomal RNA (478 nucleotides) under uncultured bacterium. RNAcentral's name for it is "partial 16S ribosomal RNA". It matches the Rfam family "Bacterial small subunit ribosomal RNA", at positions 28 to 507 of the family's 1533-position model. The record is from RNAcentral.
GAUGAACGCUGGCGGCGUGCUUAACACAUGCAAGUCGAACGAGAAGUGAAUACGGAAACCUUCGUGCGGAAGGCUUUAUUUCGAGUGGCGGACGGGUGAGUAACGCGUGGUUAACCUGCCUCAUACAGGGGGAUAACAGUUGGAAACGACUGUUAAUACCGCAUAAGACCACAGCACCGCAUGGUGCGGGUGUAAAAACUCCGGUGGUAUGAGAUGGACCCGCGUUCGAUUAGCCAGUUGGCGGGGUAACGGCCCACCAAAGCGACGAUCGAUAGCCGAUCUGAGAGGAUGAACGGCCACAUUGGGACUGAGACACGGCCCAAACUCCUACGGGAGGCAGCAGUGGGGAAUAUUGCACAAUGGGGGAAACCCUGAUGCAGCGACGCCGCGUGAGUGAAGAAGUAUUUCGGUAUGUAAAGCUCUAUCAGCAGGGAAGAAAAUGACGGUACCUGAGUAAGAAGCCCCGGCUAACUACGUG